This 213-nucleotide long non-coding RNA is filed under the name Ananas comosus (pineapple). RNAcentral describes it as "long non-coding RNA (ACOM_LNC003229)". The record is from RNAcentral. Lineage: Eukaryota; Viridiplantae; Streptophyta; Magnoliopsida; Poales; Bromeliaceae.
CCCAAAUCUAACCCUAGGUUUAGCAACAAUAGAGAAAUCAUGGUUUCAAGCUCCAAAUUUGGGAUUGAACCUUCUCUUAAGCUUCAAUGGUUUCCAUUUGAACCAUUCUUAAGCAACAAAACCCUUUUUAAAACCUAGGUUUAGCAAUAAUGAGGAAAACCAUGGGUGCUAGCCUCAAUGUGAGCUAGAUCCGUCAUCUCUAAGCUCAUUAGG